UCAUGACCUGAGCCAAAGUUGGAUGCUCAACCGACUGAGCCACCCAGGCACCCCAAAUAUAUAUUAUUCUAGACACAAACAUACAGAGUAAAAGUAUAAGUAGAUAUAGAGGAUAAAGGAGUUUAGAAUAGCUGAGAAUGGAAAGGUUAACAAUUCCUAUAGGCCUUGCAAAUGUUAAAACAAUAAUAAAAAAUACUGUGAACAAUUCUAAGUUUAUAAAUUUGACAACUUAGAUGGAAUGGGCCAAUUCCUGGAAAGAAAAUAUUAAAUCUCACUUAGAAAUACCUAGAGCUGAAUAGUCCUAUGUAUUUAUUCAGUAAAUUGCUCUUGUAGUUAAAAAACCUUUCGAUGUGAGUGAUGGUAGAGGGCUUCAAAAAUUGUUCCCUCCAACUGAGACAACCAUUAUUAAGCUGGCAAAAACUGACAAAAUCAACUUUUUCAGAACUCUAGAAUCUAAUUCUGAAAACAAAUGAAAAGCUUAGAGCAACUAGUGAGGUACCUAAGAAAGAGGAUGCUAACCAUGAAGAAAGCACUGGUAUUUCUGCUUGCCCACCCACCAACCCCCUCUCCAGUGUGGCAAGGGCAGUAGGGACAGUGCCUGUGUUCCUGGUGCAGAUGGACAGGGUGAGACAACACAGAUUUUGUGUUCAAACACUGCUAAGACAGUUUUGAUCUGUCUAGUGGUUUCCUGGUGGGUGAGUGCAGAGGCUUGCCUGCCUUUUGCCCUUCUAGGUCUGGAAUGGCAUCCUGGGCCAGACUCAAUGAAAACUACGUCAUGACAUGUACGGUCUGUGGCACGGUGCUGGGAAAAGCAGAGACAACUCCAGAUGCCGGGGAAGGUGGAAGCUGAGGAGGAAGACAGUAGGGAGAAAAAGGGCCUGCACAGACUACAGUGCAUAAACCAGGGACUCCAGAGAGCAAUGUGCAUGCCCAGGGCUGGACACAGGCUCAGAAAACACUAGAGAGGACACUAGGCUGACAUCCAUCUCUGGCUAAUCUUAGGGCUCUUCCAAAGAGGUGGAGGGUAAGGCAAAAGGGUAGACAGCAUGGUUAAAUGGAGAAGGAGUGCCCCAGUGUAGAGCCACUAUGUAAAUAUCGAGUGAGUAUUUGAUUUUUCUUUUUGGUUCCAGAAGUUUAAGGAAAUCUCUGUCACAUCACCGGCUGACCUCUGAGAUAAUGGAACAGAAAUGGCAAUGACCACACUUGACAAGAAACAUAGCCUUGGAAAAACUGGAGAGUAAACAAAUGAACAAGUCCAGCCUUCAGCGAGCAGCAAAAGCAAACCGUGGGGAGGGGGACAACCUGCUUUCCAGACUUAAGCCCAUUAUAAUGUUUAUUCAUAUUACAAAACUUCUAACCAAAAGGUAAAGGCAUAAACAAGUAGGCCCAUUCACAGGGGGAAAGAAAAGGAAAUUGACAGGAAUCAUCCCUCAGAUAAUGCAAAUAUUGGAUUUACUAGACAAACAAUUUAAAUCAACUCUCUUAAGCAUGCUCAAAGGGGCUACAGGAAACCAUUGACAAAGAACUGAAAGAAACUAGGAGAACAAUGUAUGAACAAAUAAUAUCAAAAAGAUACAAGUUAUAAAAAGAAAUUAUGAAAUUCAAAGGUACAGUAACUGGAAUAUAAAAUUCAAUACAACACAUCGAAACAGAUUUGAGCAGGCAGAAAAAUCUGUACGACUGAAGACAUUUGAAAUGAAUCAGUCUGAGGAGAAGGAAACAAAGAAUGAA
This is a long non-coding RNA of Herpailurus yagouaroundi (jaguarundi), 1731 nucleotides long. RefSeq lists it as uncharacterized. Lineage: Eukaryota; Metazoa; Chordata; Mammalia; Carnivora; Felidae. The transcript has 2 exons. The record is from RefSeq and is a predicted model, not a curated record.